AGGAUCAUUAAUGAAACUUCAAAGUCGGCUCGUCUGUCUGUGCUGGUGGAGACACAUGUGCACGUCGGCGAGUCGCAAAUCCACACACACCUGUGCAUCUAUGACUCUGAGUACCGCUUUGCAUGGCCCUCAGGGGCCUGGUACUCGAGUACUUUACACACUCUGAAUGUAAUGGAAUGUCUUUUUGUACAAUGUACAACUAAAAACAACUUUCAACAACGGAUCUCUUGGCUCUCGCAUCGAUGAAGAACGCAGCGAAAUGCGAUAAGUAAUGUGAAUUGCAGAAUUCAGUGAAUCAUCGAAUCUUUGAACGCACCUUGCACCCUUUGGUAUUCCGAAGGGUACACCCGUUUGAGUGUCAUUGUAAUCUCACUACAACCACUUUAUUGUUGUUUGUAUGUGGACUUGGAUGUUGCCGUGUAACAAACGGCUCGUCUGAAAUGCCUGAGUGUACCCUGCUUUUGCGGCGUAUUCGGUGUGAUAAAUCUUCACCGGAGUUGACUUUCGGGUCGCGCUUGUAUCGUCGGGCUCUAUGCUUCCAACCGUCCUCACAAGACAAUCUCUGACAAUUUGACCUCAAAUCGGGUGGGACUACCCGCUGAACUUAAGCAUAUCAAUAAGCGGAGGAAAAGAAACUAACAAGGAUUCCCCUAGUAACGGCGAGUGAAGAGGGAAAAGCUCAAAUUUUGAAUCUGGUGUCUUUGACUCCCGAGUUGUAAUCUAGAGAAGUGUUUUCCGCGUUGGACCGUGUACAAGUUCCCUGGAACGGGGCGUCAUAGAGGGUGAGAAUCCCGUAUAUGCCACGGACUACCAAUGCUCUGUGAUACACUCUCAACGAGUCGAGUUGUUUGGGAAUGCAGCUCAAAAUGGGUGGUAAAUUCCAUCUAAAGCUAAAUAUUGGCGAGAGACCGAUAGCGAACAAGUACCGUGAGGGAAAGAUGAAAAGCACUUUGGAAAGAGAGUGAAACAGUACGUGAAAUUGUUGAAAGGGAAGCGUUUGAAGUCAGUCACGUCUGUCGGAAUUCAGCCUGGCUUCUGCCUGGUGUACUUUCCGUCCGACGGGUCAGCAUCAAUUUCGACCGAGGGAAAAAGACGUGAGGAAUGUGGCUGUCUUCGGGCAGUGUUAUAGCCUCGGGUUGUAUGUCUCGGUUGGGAUUGAGGAACGCAGCGCGCC
Molecule: ribosomal RNA, 1174 nt
Filed under: uncultured Sebacina
Lineage: Eukaryota; Fungi; Basidiomycota; Agaricomycetes; Sebacinales; Sebacinaceae
Description: eukaryotic LSU rRNA
Rfam family: Eukaryotic large subunit ribosomal RNA (bases 572-1174)
Source: RNAcentral